RNAcentral lists this ribosomal RNA (454 nucleotides) under uncultured Prevotella sp. RNAcentral describes it as "partial 16S ribosomal RNA". It matches the Rfam family "Bacterial small subunit ribosomal RNA", at positions 341 to 792 of the family's 1533-position model. The record is from RNAcentral. Lineage: Bacteria; Pseudomonadati; Bacteroidota; Bacteroidia; Bacteroidales; Prevotellaceae.
ACGGGAGGCAGCAGUGAGGAAUAUUGGUCAAUGGACGAGAGUCUGAACCAGCCAAGUAGCGUGCAGGAUGACGGCCCUAUGGGUUGUAAACUGCUUUUGUACGGGAAUAAAGUGACCUACGUGUAGGUUUUUGCAUGUACCGUAAGAAUAAGGACCGGCUAAUUCCGUGCCAGCAGCCGCGGUAAUACGGAAGGUCCGGGCGUUAUCCGGAUUUAUUGGGUUUAAAGGGAGCGUAGGCCGUGCUUUAAGCGUGUUGUGAAAUGUAGGCGCCCAACGUCUGCACUGCAGCGCGAACUGGAGCACUUGAGUACGCAGGAAGUAGGCGGAAUUCGUCGUGUAGCGGUGAAAUGCUUAGAUAUGCUGCAGAACUCCGAUUGCGAAGGCAGCUGUCCAGAGAUGAACUGACGCUCAGGCACGAAAGCAUGGGUAUCAAACAGGAUUAGAUACCCUGGUA